AUUGAACGCUGGCGGAAUGCUUUACACAUGCAAGUCGAACGGCAGCACGGGGGCAACCCUGGUGGCGAGUGGCGAACGGGUGAGUAAUACAUCGGAACGUGCCCAGUCGUGGGGGAUAACGUAGCGAAAGUUACGCUAAUACCGCAUACGAUCUACGGAUGAAAGCGGGGGACCGUAAGGCCUCGCGCGAUUGGAGCGGCCGAUGUCAGAUUAGGUAGUUGGUGGGGUAAAGGCUCACCAAGCCGACGAUCUGUAGCUGGUCUGAGAGGACGACCAGCCACAGUGGGACUGGGCCACGGCCCAGAUUCCUACGGGAGGCAGCAGUGGGGAAUUUUGGACAAUGGGCGCAGGCCUGAUCCAGCCAUUCCGCGUGCAGGACGAAGGCAUUCGGGUUGUAAACUGCUUUUGUACGGAACGAAAAGGCUCUGGUUAAUACCUGGGGCUCAUGACGGUACCGUAAGAAUAAGCACCGGCUAACUACGUGCCAGCAGCCGCCGUAA
This 500-nucleotide ribosomal RNA is filed under the name uncultured bacterium. RNAcentral describes it as "partial 16S ribosomal RNA". It matches the Rfam family "Bacterial small subunit ribosomal RNA", at positions 30 to 523 of the family's 1533-position model. The record is from RNAcentral.